UACGUAGGGAGCAAGCGUUGUCCGGAAUCAUUGGGCGUAAAGAGCUCGUAGGCGGCUUGUCGCGUCGACCGUGAAAACUUGGGGCUCAACCCCAAGCCUGCGGUCGAUACGGGCAGGCUAGAGUUCGGUAGGGGAGACUGGAAUUCCUGGUGUAGCGGUGAAAUGCGCAGAUAUCAGGAGGAACACCGGUGGCGAAGGCGGGUCUCUGGGCCGAUACUGACGCUGAGGAGCGAAAGCGUGGGGAGCGAACAGG
RNAcentral lists this ribosomal RNA (253 nucleotides) under uncultured bacterium. RNAcentral's name for it is "partial 16S ribosomal RNA". It matches the Rfam family "Bacterial small subunit ribosomal RNA", at positions 524 to 776 of the family's 1533-position model. The record is from RNAcentral.